This is a long non-coding RNA of Taeniopygia guttata (zebra finch), 9652 nucleotides long. RefSeq lists it as uncharacterized. Lineage: Eukaryota; Metazoa; Chordata; Aves; Passeriformes; Estrildidae. The record is from RefSeq and is a predicted model, not a curated record.
AACGCUCUGGAGCUUUCUGGCCUCUCCUGCCUGGCAGCUCAGCCCUGCUGUCCCCUCCUGCUCCUGAGGACCUGAUGGGUGCUCUGCUCCAGCUCAGUCCUCCUGCGGAUGAGGUCUGACUUCCCAAUGGCUUUUUUUAGCACAGUGUGAGCUUUGCCUGACAUUUCUCCUGAACUAAAUAAGUCCCCAGCUCGGUUUACACUCGCUGGAUCUCCCUGCCAAGGGUGGCACUUCUGACAUUGCUUCAAGGAACGGGCACAGAUCCAGCCUCACCUUAUCCCAGGGGAUGAAUUCACAGCUGGGGCUACAGCUUUACCCCCUUGGAGGAUCUCACCGUUUGGAUUUUCAGAAAGCCAUCAGGAAUCUGCCCUGUUUUGCCUCUCUGGGAUCUGCCUCUCAGCACUCAACUGUCACCAGUUGCAAUCUGUCUGCUCUGCAGUUGUCUGAGUGUGUGAAAUCAAACAUCACAGCAGCUCCUACCUGCCAUGGGGACAAUGCAAGAGUUGAUGUCUGACAGCUCAGAAACCUCAGAAACCCAGAACUGCUGGCUCAUUCAGAGCUACAACUAAAGACCUUCAGUUCAGCAAGUUCUCAGCAACAGCAAAGGAGAGCUGGGAAGGAGCUGUGCCAUCCCACAAGGUGGAUUUGUCUCCUGGAGCUGGUGGGAGGAGCAGAGCAGGAGCCAGCAGCUCCUGGAGCCUUCUUCCAAUUUGGAGAACGCUGUCCUUUACUCACAUCCCACGAGGAUGUAAAUCCAGCUGAGUCUUGGAAAGGAUGACUGGAAGGAGAACUGAAGCCUGGAAGAAGCACUGGGCAGUCGCUGGAUCAGGGAUUUUGAAUUAGCCUCAUUAGCAUGCAUUAAUUAGAUUUCUGCAGAGGCAGAGACAGCGGGCUUCAGGAAAACGAUAUCCUGCUUUUUGUCAGCAGCCUCAGAUGCUCCGGAGGAAGGGGAACUGCUCCUUCCCCGGGGACAGCAGCUCCUGGGCAGGAGGGACAUUCCAGAGGCUGAGCAGCUGCAGCGGCUGGGGAUGCUCAGCCAGCCCAGAAAGCAAGAAGUGCUGGAAGAUGCUGCCCUGGGAGAGGUGUAGGAAAGGGAUAAUCCUGUCCUGAGCAGUCCUGGGCUGGCAGGUGGCAGCAGGGACAUGGUGUCACCACGGCCCCUGAGCAGAGACAGGCACAGGGUCAGGUGCAAGUGAAGUCAGGUGGAAGCUGCAGGCAAGAAAUGCCCAUUGUUUGCUGGCAAGUUGGCUUUUCUCUCACCCAAGCCACAAGAAUCCCAAGCCCUUUGUCCAGCUUCAGCCUGAGUGUCUGGGAGUGUCCUUGCUGAGGGAAAUGUCACCAGGGAAGACAGCAAAGGGUUUCUCAUAGAGGUCACCAAACAGCUUGGAGGGGAAGGUGCUUUUUUCUAAACAGAAGAGUAAACUUGGGCAAAAGGCUGCUGAGACUGGCACAGGGGCCUGCCUGAAUUCCCUGGGGUUUCCCAUUCCUCCAGGAAAUACCCACUUUGGGAAUUCUGUCCCUUUACUUAAAUUUGGCCAUUUCUCCCCACUGCUCAUCCUGAUGUGCUUGACUGGAGUGUGACUGCCUUGGCCAGAACCCAAACCAGCCCUGGUGUGUUGGGUAAUCCCACGGGAUACAAAUCCCACAUCCCAUGGGAUUCUAUGGGCUACAAAUCCCUGUGCUGCAGCUGCUGCAGAACCUUUUGAACCUGAGAGCGUUCAGCACUGAGCAGAGGCUGCAGGAGCACACAGAGCAGGAGGUGUGGGGACAUUUCUGCAGCUCAGAGCCUUUUCUGGUUUUGUGCAGCUGUGGCCAAACUGUCAUUAGCUCCCCAGGUCACUGAGCUGUGACAGAAGUGUUUGUGCAUUAGAUAAAGGUUCUGAUUAAUUAUCUGAGCACCUCGUGGCCUUUCAUGAGCUCAGUCUGCACGGAAAGGGUGAGCUCUGUUUCACAGAUAGGACCAAGAAACAGCAAGAGCUAAGAGAUUUCUUAAUUCUUCUUUGAAUUUCUCAUGUAGGGCUUGGUCCCUUUGUCCCCUGUCACUGUUGGUUUGGCUCUGCUUUGGAGCUGCCUGUCCUGAUGAGAACCUUCCCUGAGGCCACGGGCCAGACCACAGCCCCCAGAACAUCCUCAUGGAUUUUAGGGUCUUUUAUCCUUCCUAAAGACCACAGCAACCCCAAAUCCCUGCCCCUGGAGCAGGAGCAGGUUCUCAAUCUGUUCUCUGUUCCAUCCAGAGAGGGAAGCAGGGAUGGAUCCUGAGAGCUCUCCCAAAUUUCAGUCCCUGGCCCCAUCCCCAGGCACAUCCUGCCCUGGGCUUGGAGGAGCCCAGCUGGGACCUGCUGGAGGACAGAUCCUGGACCAGGACCAGUCCUGGACCCACAGGACACAUUCCCAGUCUGGAAUCAGCACUCAGGGUGGUGGUGAGGAAAGGAAAGAGGCCUCAACUGUGCAGAUGGGACAUGGGUUUGUAGGAAAAGCAAGGAGGAUUUUUAGGGGGCUGCUGGAAGGAAGGAAAUUUGUGUGGGAGAGACUCAGUGUCUUCUUGUGGAAAAGUCUGGAAGCUGCAGAUCAUCCCCAGACCCCAAUCUCCCAGCAGGGACAGUCAGCAGCGGUUCCACAGAAACCUUUGCAACCUCAACACCCCUUAUGGCCCUGAGCAGCCUCACCCGGGGCUCCCCACGGCUGCUCACGGUUCCAGUUCAGCUCAGCCCUCAUUCCCUUCCUUGCCUUGGGCACACUCAGCUCUGAGCCUGCCUCCAGCACAGACCUUUCAGCAGGUAAUUUCCCUCUGGGAUCAACCCUUGGAUGCACAUUUUAAUUUAUUUCCAGGCUGGGUUUUGAUCCUGGCUCCUGAGGGAAGUUUUGGGGUCUUGCUGUGGGCUUGUCUCCAAUCCUGGCCCUGUCUCCUUUUAUUCUGGAAUUCCUGGCUGGAGCCUGGGCUGUGCUUGUCCUGCCUGGGAUUGUUGAGGGGCUGAGCUGCUCCUCCAGGAGGGUUUUGGGGAGGGGUGAGGGUGUUCCCUGUGCUGGGGUUAUCCCUGGAUCCCAGGUUCCUGCUCAGCCCAAGGCUGCACCCAAACCCCUGAGGGUGCCUGGAGAGCUGCUGCCUCCCAAAGAAAGUGCUUGGAGCAAAACGGAUUCCAAGGCUGGUGUUAGAGGGGGAAAUUUUAGGAUUUGGAGUGGGUGCAGGGCUUGACAAGGUGUUGGUGCUUCCUAUAUGUUCCCAGGGAAAAGAAAAAUAUCUUAAGAUUUCAGCUCCUUAAGCUGCCAAAACCCUUUUAGGCUCUCACCUGGCACAUUUUACAUAAAAGUGAAAGCCAGGCCCCUUCUCCUUCAAUCCAGGGCCUAUUCUGGUUUUGUUUUAAUUUUUUCCUUUCAAGCACGAAAUCCCCCAUAAUGGGGUGAUGUGGCUCUCCCUUCUUCCCUGCCACCCAUUUCUUGCUUCCCCGGAGUUCAUCCCAAAUUCAGACAAUUGUAUUUCCAGGGUAAAUAAUUUUUCUGACAAUGAUUUUUAGCUUCUUGGGCUGAUUUACUCUUUUAAGUUUAUUUUUCAGCUCCAAGCUCUGCCUAAAUAGACUUUCCUUUGCUGCAAAUGUGCCUUCAGAGCAGGAAGGAACUUGACUUUGUGAAGAUUUAUGGCCCUUUUAACCUCAUUAUGGGACUAUUUGUAACAAUCAGCUUCAGUUCCACUUGAGAUAGUAAAAUUUCUGUAAGCCCUUAUUUGCCUCAGGCUGGAAGGUAUCAGCUACUGAAAAGCAAUGAAAUGAAGGAAUUUAUCCACAUAAAAUAUUGCAAAUGUGCUGUUAAAAGCUGGAUCCUGUCUUGAGUUUUUAAUGCAAGAGUCUAAGGAUGUGGAGUUGGGAAUGAAAUGGAGGUGGAGAAGAAAUAAAAUAAAAUGUUAAUUACUAAAAAUGUCAAAACCAACAAAAUAAUCACAAAAAAACUCUACUUGAAAUAGUUUCAAAUUAACUUUUAAUGAUUUCUAGCUGAAAUGAAAACAAGAUGAAAAGGUGUAGGGAAAGAGAAGUUGUUAUUAAGAGGACUUGAGAGGAGAAAAAGAUGUUUUAUUAAAACAAGGAACCUGAUGAAAUUUUGAUACAAAGCACUUUCACCACUUUUGGUCUGACAUAUUUCCAUCCAACCGGAAUUUAUUUUCGCAGCAAAUACAAACCUGAGGGGGUUUAAGGAAAUAUUUCCUUCAGCAAGUGCUUCAUUUUCCCUUUCUCCUUCUUCUCUGCAGCUGCUGGUUUAUCUUUAAUUAAAAAUAGAUUUAGAGGGUUGCUGAUAACGGGAUCCUUUCCAACCCAGGAGAGCCCGUGACACAUUUCAUUUCCCAGAAUUUAUCUGGGACAUCCAAUGUCAUUAUCAAUGCUUUCAAUUUAGAGUUAAAUAACUUUCCAAAGGGUGUGAAAGUGGUGAGGAGACAGAGUCUUGUUCUGUAAACCUCAAGGGAGAAAUAGCUUUGCUUGGGCUGACAGUUUAACAGGUGUUUUUGGUGUGUUGGUUUGGGGUUUUUUGUAAUUUUAACCACUUCUUCAAAGCUGUGUCUGCUUUGAAGGUCAGAGUGUCCAUGGGAAAUGACAUGAUUUUCAGGCUGUGUCUGCCAGGGAUGCAGAUUUAUUGUGGAAUUAUGAAGAUAGCAAAAGUUCAGCCUUUUCAUGCCCAUAAUCUUUUUUUAAUUGUUUGAAAAACCUGUUACAAUGACCAAGAGAAGUUGGGUUCCCUUUGAGGGCAAGGACGGUCUGGAUAAAGGGAUUCACGAGGAGAAUCACUAAAACCAGCACCUGUAUUUUUAGGGUCUCACACUAAUUUCCAGAAUUUCUGUCUCUGGGAUUGUGUCUCUGCUGUCUCAGUGCCAAGGGGUGACCCUGAGUUGCAGUUUUGAAGCAAUUUGAUAUCAGUGAGCAAUUCCUCAUGGGAGAGGGGGGUGGAAAAUGGGCCCAGCAGGGGCUUGUUCCACACCUGAGCCUCAUCCUCAGGUCAGAACCAGGGUGGGGACAGCAGGAGAAGAGGAGUUUGUGUGAUGAGUGGUGUAAUAAUUGGAUUUAGGGUAACUCUGGGUGUUUUUUUGUGCUCUGCCCAGCUGUGGCUGCCCCUGGAUCCCUGGAAGUGUCCAAGGCUGGGUUGGACAGGGCUUGGAACAACCUGGUGAAAGGUGUCCCUGCCCAUGACAGUGGCAGUGACAAAGCACUGGAGGAGCUUUGAGGUCCCUUCAUCCCAAACAAUUCCAAGAAUCUCUAAUUCUAAUCCUUUGCAGUAGCUGGGAGGAGAUAAAUGAAGGAUUUAUUCCCUUGUGCCUAAAAAAAUUCCCUUAGAAAAAAUGCAAUCCAUCCCUCAUUUUCCCCCUUUAAUGAAUUUGUGCCCUUGUCCCUGACACUGCUGAGCUUCCUCCUGGGGCUGUGCCUGCUGGAAUCCCAGUGGGAUUUGGGCAGGAUGGGGCUUCCCCUGUCACAUAACUCAGAUCUGGCUCUGACUGACACUGCCUGCAGCUCUGGGCACUGCCGUGGCAAAAACCGUUCCUGGCACGGGAAUAACAAACCUUUCAUCAAAGGAAUCUGUCAGUAUGAAACAAAGAAGAUGUCCCAGGGGAACAGGACCCUCAAAGCAGCUGGAGAGGGAGAAAUGUGAAUAAAUGGCAGAGGAUUUGCAGCAUCCCAGGCUGCCUUGGAUAAGCAGCUUUUGCAUGAGCUGGUUUUGAAGAGCCCUCAUUAUUUUUUUUUCCCUUAUCUUCCCUCUACUUACAGGGCUCAUGUGGAUGUUUUUCCUGCAAAAUACCCCCAGUUUUUUUUUUUUUUUUUUUUUUUUUUUUUUUUUUUCUAUCAGGGAAUGAAUUUACAGAAGUCAGCCCUUUCUGCUGUGUUUUCCUGGUUCCUGUGAGCUCCAGGGAGAUUUUUUUUGUGUUCCACGGCUGCCCUCUGGUGCUCUCUAAACCCGGAGCAGGACCCUGGGUGUCACUCAGCACAUUUUCAUAGGGAUUUCAUAGCCUGCAGCUACCGAGGGCUUGUUUCAUGUUGCUUCUCUUGUUCCAUUACUUCAUUUGAAAGUAUAAUUUAGGACUUUAAUGGACAGUCCCUAACGAAGGCGCUAUUUUGUUAUAACAGAUUUUUAUUUUUUUUUGCUAAAAUGUGGUUUCUUACAACUACAUUUGUUUUCUUCACUAAAUGCCUCACAAUUUCUGCAAACCUUUCCUUCUGAUUUAACAUUUCUUUUUAAUUUCUGUCAUCUUUUUAAUAUAUAUAACACUUCUGUGGUGCACUGUACUUCACACAGGAAAAAAACCACAAGAAGUGGCCCUUUUCUUUAAUUAUGCAGCAAUUAAAACUCUGUUCCCUUGAGUGGGAUGAUGUUUUUGGUCCAGAAAGCCAAGCAACCAAAUUAAGGAAUUUGGGAGCACCUUGGAUUUGCCCUUUCAAGGAGACUGAAAUGAGAGGCAAAAAGCCUGUGACAUUCAAGGCUUAAAAAUGAGAUUUUUGUCCCUGAGUGCACAUAUUCACCUAACUGUGAAUAAAUAAUGUUUUCCAGGAGAAGAGUGGGAAAAUAAACUCUGUAACGAGCAUAUUCCUGCUUUUCUAAGCCCCAGAGAAGGACUAAUGGGGUGGAUAGAAUUAUUUAUCACUGGAGUCAGCUCUCCUUGUGCUCAGAACCCAAAUCUUGACGUGGAUAAAAGUGAGGAGCAUCCUUUGGCACCUUCAGGGGUCAGAUUUUUACAAGAAUAUGCCUUAGAAAAGGAAAGGUCAGCAGGGUUUUGAAAGCUGUCCUUUGGGAAAGGGAGCAGGGAUUUGUGCCUGCCUUGGGGAGAGUCCUGAAAACCCCAGGAUGUUGAAAUCCAGGUCUCAGCACAGCACUUCCCACCCUGAAAAGGUUAAUUAAUGAAUCCAAGUCCUAAUGACAGUGAGGGCAGAGCUCCCAGUCCCUCCCAGCCUGUGGAGUUUAUUGACACAGAAUUCCUGCAGCAGGAGCAGGACAGGGGACAAGGCACUUGUGCCUGCUGGGAAUUGAGGCAAACAAAGCCCCAGUGCUCCCACAGAGCCCUGGCCACCUUCCAGGCCCCUGGUGGGAAAAAUAUCGAUUGAAACUUGCCAAAACCUCCUUUCUGGCAUUGCUGAAAGGGGUCUCAAAGAGUCCUGGUUUCUAAGGUUUAAUGUUAAUUUCUUGUUUCGGUCUGUAAUCAGUGAAUUAAAUAUGCUGCGCUUCAGAGAAGAGGAGUUUGAUUUGCAGCAAAGCACAGAACACAUCCCUGAAAAAUCCCUGCUUUUCCAAGUCUAGGACUGGUGCACCCCUCACCUGCACACUGCAGGAGGGAGGGGGAAAUCAGAAUCUCCAGGCAGUGGGAUUGUGACUUGUCACCUCCUGAAGCUUUGCUGAGCAGAAAAUAGGAGAAAAUCCUUGGAGAGGGGACUGGCAGGAGCUGGGGUGAGGGAGUAGCCCCUUCUCCCUGGGAACACAUCCCUGGUCUCAGGGAGCUGCAGGGAGAUGAGGUUUGGGUGGGAGUGGGGUGUCAGUCAGUCACUCACCCAUCCUUGGCUGUCAGAGCUCUCCUGAUGGAUCCAGGAGAUCUGGAUGCUGAUGGAUCCUCAGGAGUUUGGAGGUGGGACAGCUCUGGGGCUGCACAGCAACCAGAAAGUCUCCAGGAAAAGCAGAAAAUGGGAUCUGGGGAUGCUGCCUGGGCCCUGAGCGAUUCCAGAGCAGCUCAGAGCAAAUCAGGAGUUUUAAACUCGAGCCCAAUGAGGAGAGGUGUUGUAAACUUGUAGUAGCAGCAGCUCAGAAGUGUUCUGCUCAGCAGAGCUGUGCCAGGCUCUCGCUGCCUCGUGCCUGGCAAUUAUUUAGGGAUUGUGUCUGUGACAAGCAGUGCUGGGAGGUUCCUGCACGCCCCCUUAGCCCCCCAAAAGCUGCUGCCCUUUGCUGAGCUCUUGGCACAGGCACUGGUGUGGUUUUCAUUCCUGCACAGUCAUUUCUGCAGCAGGGAGCAGGAUGGGCUGUGGGGUGUGGGUGCUUUUUGGGUGAGAAAUGUCUGUGUGGGAGGUGAUACCAUCAGUGGCUCUGGACCUCGCAGCCUCUGCCCUUUGCGUGCUGCCUGUGAGAGAUGGGCUGACUACGGCAAAGUGACUCAUGCUGGUUUAACUUAUUUUACAUUUUAUGCUUUGUUUAGGGUUUUCCUUUCCUAUCUGUCCUACAUCACCUUCCUCUUCUGCCCUGUUAUAUUUGCUCUCUAGCCAGCUCUGUCCUUCCCUCUAGUUGUCAGAGGCUUCCUUUUGAUUAAUCUCUUUAUUUUUACUCUUCAUGUCUUUCCCCCAGUUGUCUGCACAUCCUCCUUUCAUCUCUCUCCAUUAUUCCUUGCAUCCUCCAUUCCCAUGGGAUCACAGAAGGACUUUGAACUGUCUCCUCUAUUUUUUAAUUAGGCAAAGCUUUCAGCCCAUCUUGGCUCUGAUUUUCCCACAGGGUAUCACGUUUAACAGGUAAAACCAUGCUCAGGGUAGGUUGAGGAGAUGUUUGGGGAGCAGCAGGUGCCAGGCAAUAUCCAGGUGGAUUUCCAGGGGCAGGUGAAUGCUGGAGUCUUACCUGAGAUGGGAUAAUCUGCAUUUCUCUUUGUUGUGGUGUCUCCUGAGCCAUCCCAGGGACACCAGAGAAAUGGUGGAGGGACACAGGAGAGUGCUGAGUUAUCCCUGAGCUCUACAACAGGUAUUUUAACCUCAGUUGUCACUUAAAAUGUGCACCAGAGCAUCAAAGCCCAAAAAGAAACACUGAGAGUGCCUAGAAAUCAAAUUUUCGCUAUUUUGAAAUCAUUUCAGAACUUUUGUCUUGAGCUCCAACACCAAAUCCAACGUGGCAGUGCUGGUUUGGCAUCCCAAGACCAGGCAGGCCGAAGGUUGUGGUUCAAUCAGUGGCCACCCAAAGUGUCCCAGGGCACAGCUGGAUGUUCACAGCCUCCUUCCCACCGCUGGGCUGUUGAACUGGGUUUUUGGAGGAGAAGAACAGCCCUGUCACCACUGUGUCCAUGAGAAGCCCUGUGCAGGUGCAGGGGUGGUUUGGCACUCCAGGUGUCCAACAUGCAGCAAUUUGCAGGUUCUGGGCCUCUGGUUUGGUUGUACAGCUCCGAGUCUGGGAGUUGUUGUCAUUUUAAGGAAAAAUUAUCUGUGUUAUUUCCAUGGUCUGGGAGAAACCUGCGAUGUGGGGAAGGGCUGGGGGUGAGCCUGCAGUUCUCCUGAUCCCCUGACAGAUCAGGGCCACUCAGCAGAGCCCCCCGAGGCUGCUCCAUCCCUCUGGAUUUGGGGGUGGCUUCAGGAGAGGCUGCACAGCCUCCGGGGUCACAUCCUGUGGCACAGCUCUGAGGCCACUGCUGGCCUGUGUUCAAACCAAAUGAGUUUGGGCAGCUGUGUGGGUUGGUUUUCUUCUUUUCUGUGUAUUUCUAAACAAUCAGUACAAAUUCCAGCCCUCCAAUUAACAGAGAAAAUCUAGAUUAUUUAAAGGGAAAUCAGUUUUUUGUCAGCAAUCUGCCCAGGCCUUUCCUAUGUUCAUCAGUGUGACUACAAACAAUAACUGAUUUAACAUCAAGGAGUACAGCAGCAAAGAUGUUUCUCUGCCUAAAAGUAUUUCUGAAAGAUUCCUUUGAAAAUAAAUCCUUGUUUGCUCUCUUGCACAGCAUCUUCACCAGAAA